This 253-nucleotide ribosomal RNA is filed under the name uncultured bacterium. RNAcentral's name for it is "partial 16S ribosomal RNA". It matches the Rfam family "Bacterial small subunit ribosomal RNA", at positions 524 to 776 of the family's 1533-position model. The record is from RNAcentral.
UACGGGGGGGGCAAGCGUUGUUCGGAAUUACUGGGCGUAAAGGGCUCGUAGGCGGCCAACUAAGUCGGACGUGAAAUCCCUCGGCUUAACCGGGGAACUGCGUCCGAUACUGGAUGGCUUGAGUACGAAAGAGGGUCGCGGAAUUCCCGGUGUAGAGGUGAAAUUCGUAGAUAUCGGGAGGAACACCGGUGGCGAAGGCGGCGACCUGGUGCGAUACUGACACUGAGGUGCGAAAGCGUGGGGAGCAAACAGG